This 86-nucleotide transfer RNA is filed under the name Lysobacterales bacterium. RNAcentral describes it as "tRNA-Leu". It matches the Rfam family "tRNA". Rfam says of the family: Transfer RNA (tRNA) molecules are approximately 80 nucleotides in length. Lineage: Bacteria; Pseudomonadati; Pseudomonadota; Gammaproteobacteria; Lysobacterales. The record is from RNAcentral.
GCCGGAGUGGCGGAACUGGCAGACGCGCCGGACUCAAAAUCCGGUGGGAGGAAACUCCCUUGCGGGUUCGAUCCCCGCCUCCGGCA